AGCGAACGCUGGCGGCAGGCUUAACACAUGCAAGUCGAACGCACCGCAAGGGGAGUGGCCGACGGGUGAGUAACACGUGGGAACGUACCCAUUGGUUCGGUAUAACUUGGGGAAACUCAAGCCUAUACCGGAUAAGCCUCUAUGGGGAAAGGUUUACUGCAGAAGGAUCGGCCCGCGUGUGCUUAGCUAGUUGGUGAGCUAAUGGCUCACCAAGGCGACGAUCAGUAGCUGGUCUGAGAGGAUGAUCGGCCACACGGGGCCGGAGUCACGGCCCAGACGCCUACGGGAGGCAGCAGUGGGGAAUAUUGGACAAUGGGGGGAACCCUGAUCCAGCCAUGCCGCGUGAGUGAUGAAGGCCUUAGGGUUGUAAAGAUCUUUUACCCGGGACGAUAAUGACUGUACCGGGAGAAUAAGCCCCGGCUAACUUCGUGCCAGCCGCCGCCGUAA
This 447-nucleotide ribosomal RNA is filed under the name uncultured bacterium. RNAcentral's name for it is "partial 16S ribosomal RNA". It matches the Rfam family "Bacterial small subunit ribosomal RNA", at positions 29 to 523 of the family's 1533-position model. The record is from RNAcentral.